Molecule: unclassified non-coding RNA, 358 nt
Filed under: soil metagenome
Description: partial contains 5.8S ribosomal RNA, internal transcribed spacer 2, and large subunit ribosomal RNA
Rfam family: 5.8S ribosomal RNA (bases 1-120)
Source: RNAcentral
GAUGAAGAACGCAGCGAAAUGCGAUAAGUAAUGUGAAUUGCAGAAUUCAGUGAAUCAUCGAAUCUUUGAACGCACAUUGCGCCCGUCAGUAUUCUGGCGGGCAUGCCUGUUCGAGCGUCAUUACGCCCCUCAAGUCCCCUGUGGACUUGGUGUUGGGGAUCGGCGAGGCUGGUUUUCCAGCACAGCCGUCCCUUAAAUUAAUUGGCGGUCUCGCCGUGGCCCUCCUCUGCGCAGUAGUAAAACACUCGCAACAGGAGCCCGGCGCGGUCCACUGCCGUAAAACCCCCCAACUUUUCAUAGUUGACCUCGAAUCAGGUAGGACUACCCGCUGAACUUAAGCAUAUCAAUAAGCGGAGGA